UACAGAGGGGGCAAGCGUUAUUCGGAAUUAUUGGGCGUAAAGGGCGCGUAGGCGGCUUGGCAAGUGGAUGGUGAAAUCCCUCGGCUUAACCGAGGAACUGCCGUCCAAACUGCUUCGCUUGAGACCGGGAGAGGUGAGUGGAAUUCCCAGUGUAGCGGUGAAAUGCGUAGAUAUUGGGAGGAACACCAGUGGCGAAGGCGGUUCACUGGACCGGUACUGACGCUGAUGCGCGAAAGCGUGGGGAGCAAACGGG
RNAcentral lists this ribosomal RNA (253 nucleotides) under uncultured bacterium. Its description in RNAcentral is "partial 16S ribosomal RNA". It matches the Rfam family "Bacterial small subunit ribosomal RNA", at positions 524 to 776 of the family's 1533-position model. The record is from RNAcentral.